GUAGGGAAUAUUGCGCAAUGGGGGAAACCCUGACGCAGCAACGCCGCGUGAGUGAGGAAGGUCUUCGGAUUGUAAAACUCUUUUAUUAGGGAAAAAUGUCUAGGUGGCUAAUAUCCACUUAGAGUGAUGGUACCUAAGGAAUAAGCACCGGCUAACUUCGUGCCAGCAGCCGCGGUAAUACGAAGGGUGCAAGCGUUGUUCGGAAUCAUUGGGCGUAAAGCGCGCGCAGGCGGGUCAGUAAGUCAGGUGUGAAAUCUCGGAGCUCAACUCCGAAACUGCGCCUGAAACUAUUGGUCUAGAGUAUCGGAGGGGACAGGGGAAUUUCACGUGUAGGGGUAAAAUCCGUAGAGAUGUGAAGGAACACCGGAGGCGAAGGCGCCUGUCUGGACGAUUACUGACGCUGAGGCGCGAAAGCGUGGGGAGCAAACAGGAUUAGAUACCCGAGUAGUCC
This 451-nucleotide ribosomal RNA is filed under the name uncultured bacterium. RNAcentral's name for it is "bacterial SSU rRNA". It matches the Rfam family "Bacterial small subunit ribosomal RNA", at positions 354 to 796 of the family's 1533-position model. The record is from RNAcentral.